AGGAGCUUGCUCUUCAAAUCUAGUGGCAAACGGGUGAGUAACACGUAAACAACCUGCCUUCAGGAUGGGGACAACAGACGGAAACGACUGCUAAUACCGAAUACGUUCCUUAGGUCGCAUGACUUUAGGAAGAAAGGGUGGCCUCUACUUGUAAGCUAUCGCCUGAAGAGGGGUUUGCGUCUGAUUAGGUAGUUGGUGAGGUAAUGGCCCACCAAGGCGACGAUCGGUAGCCGGACUGAGAGGUUGAACGGCCACAUUGGGACUGAGACACGGCCCAGACUCC
Molecule: ribosomal RNA, 283 nt
Filed under: uncultured Dialister sp.
Lineage: Bacteria; Bacillati; Bacillota; Negativicutes; Veillonellales; Veillonellaceae
Description: partial 16S ribosomal RNA
Rfam family: Bacterial small subunit ribosomal RNA
Source: RNAcentral